Long non-coding RNA from Mauremys reevesii (Reeves's turtle), 1582 nucleotides. RefSeq lists it as uncharacterized. The transcript has 5 exons. NCBI's taxonomy places the organism in Eukaryota, Metazoa, Chordata, Testudines, Geoemydidae. The record is from RefSeq and is a predicted model, not a curated record.
GGAUGACCAGGAAGGAGAGCAGAUCUCUGGUGCCUGACUCAGGGAGAGAAGCUGCUGAAUGGGAAGUGGGACUGGAAGUGCUGGCAGAUGGAGCCUCCUGGAAGGAAGGGGGAACCAUGGAGUGACCUGGCUGGAGGGCUGACUCCUGAAGAGGCAGCUCUGGUUCCUCAAGCAAAAGGGGUCUGCGGAAUGAGAGGACAGUGUGGGAGAGACAGCCAGGGGAGAGUGCAAUGCCUGGCUGGAGCUUAUCCCCAGGAGGGCCAAGAGGUGGUGCCAUCAAAGUGCUUUCCUGACUUACACUGCAGAUGUAAAAGUAAGAAUACUGGAAACCAAAACUGAAGACAAGUUGAUUUUCUUCUCAGAAAAAGGGCCCGUGGUAGUAGCUCUUUCAUGUUCCUGACCAGCCAAACUGGUGUCUGCCCACAGAUCUUGCCCUGAACCCAGUGCACCCUGGGACAGGACAUGAAGAUUGACAACAGCUGAGGAGAACAUGGCUGGCCUCUGAGGUUAUGAGGCUCGCCUGGAUACGGGUGAAUACAUCAAGGUCAAGGUCACACAGCAGAUCAGUCAAGGCUGGAAUCCAUCUCGUCUGAUGAACUCGUCUGAGUUCUAUGCUAACAGCUUUAUGCAAGGCCCAGUUUUCCCCGGACUGGCCUUUCAUAAGUUUCCUGUAUGUCUUAGCGUCCAUGUCGUUACGCGUGAACUGGUCUAUAAUAGUUUAUGCUAUAAAUCACAGCUGUCUCCCAUGCUGCUUCCCAUGAUAUUAAGGGUACAGUCUCUGGACAUGCCAGUUACCAGGGCUUGGAUGGAGGUUGUGCUGUCUUCUGAUAUUGAUAGCCUUACAUUCUCUAUUAUGACGGUAGCUGUACUGGAAUCGCCGUAAUGACAAGUUAGUCGAAAGUUAAGGUUGAUCUCGGAAUUAGGGGACAAUAAAGAGACACUGUAAAAAAUGCCCCAGUGCUUCCAUUCGUAUUGUCUUUGUCUCCGUGUGCAUUAUCUCUUUAAUGACGCUAAUUCAGAUGGGCUCAGCUGCCAAGUAAAAAUGUGCUCCUAUCUACUAGCCUUACAAACUCACUCUGAACUGCUCGAGUCAUGCUGGGUUCUUUACUUUUUCUGCAUAAUCACCAGUAAUAAAUGUUCUGCUGGCAAAUGAUGUUCACAGUGGCACCUGUGCAAACCCAUUGUCUUCAGUCAAUGUACACAGGUGUAACUGAUUGGCGCUUAGUAAACUAUUCUGGGGGAGCUGCUUAUGAAGGAGCAGAAACUAUAUUGCUGUCAGCUCUCCAGUGCUAACAACAGCAAGAAGAAAUAACCAGUUUUUUUCACUAUAGAAAGAAGGGAAUAUGUUGAAUGCAGGUCACAUGGGGCCAGAUUUUUAAAGGGAUUUAGUGGAGAUGGGUGAAAUACUUGAGCCAAAACUUUUUUCCAUCAAAAAAUGCAGAUUUGGUGGCACUGGAAUGGGUACUUGUUUCACCAAAUUGCUUGUUUAAAAAUAAAUACAUAGCAUUUGGAAAACUCAGAAUGUUUUGAUUUUUUUUGUAUGCAAAAUGACUGUUUAGAAAUGUCCUUCAUUAUUUAAAAA